GGGGAUCAACACUGCGACAAAGUAAUUACAAGUAGGGGAAGACACCUAGCCUAGCCACUGACCUCGUCAGAGACGCGGGUUGUCCUAAUGACCCAGGCAGAGGAGGCUACCCUUUCAGCCAUGUGGGGCUCGGGGUGCACUCACGUCCCCCACUUGUGGAUCUCACAAGUGUUACACUCCUGAUCAGCUGACAUCUAAGUUAGGUUCAACAUUUGAGCUGUUAUUGUAUUUAAAUGGACCUGGUUCAGCACAUGAACGCCGUAGAUCGCUUCUCAUUCUAGUUUUUAGAUAAAUGAAUUUCUUUAUUCCAACAUCUGCAUGAAUUAUGCAUUAUUACAAGUCCCAACCAUGUGCUACGAAAGUUUCCAACAAAUAGUAGAAAAAUACAAAACAAAUUUUUUAUACCAAGAUUAAAUGCGAAGUAUAUUAGUAGAUAUCCACUUGUGUUUGGGAAGAUCCAUAACCGCUGUUUCCAAUAUACGGUUGUCCAAAUGAAGUAUUACUUAUGGAUACUGAGCCACAAAUUAGACUUGGAUUCUGGAAGUUUUCAUCAUGAAGGUGUUUGUAUGUAUGUUUAUUCUACUAUCUGUUAGAAGAUUGGCUGGGUGUUUGCAAAUGAAGACGGAUCACUGCAAUAUUUUCAAGAUUUUUUUAGCAUUUAUCAACAAAACCUUUCAAGAACAAAGCAUGCAUAACCGUACAGGUCCUUCGUUUUAGAGAAGACACCUAUGGCUAGAGGCAUUCUUGUAAGUUCACACUCCCUCCCCCCUCCCCCUCUCUCUCGUCGUACAUAAUCCCCAAUAAGUAUUCGCCCCUUCUUUUAAAUAUGACACGAAGUGUUGUGAGGAAGUUUGUCCUUAAAAAAAAAGAACAAAGCAGGCAUGAAGCACCCAAGUGUCAUCCCAUAUUCCCAUAUGCAAUGUGUUCCUUUCCUGUUUACAAUC
RNAcentral lists this long non-coding RNA (944 nucleotides) under Setaria viridis. RNAcentral's name for it is "long non-coding RNA (SVIR_LNC005251)". Lineage: Eukaryota; Viridiplantae; Streptophyta; Magnoliopsida; Poales; Poaceae. The record is from RNAcentral.